AACGAACGCUGGCGGCAUGCCUAACACAUGCAAGUCGAACGAGACCUCCGGGUCUAGUGGCGCACGGGUGCGUAACGUGUGGGAACCUGCCCUUAGGUUCGGAAUAACUCCCUGUAAGGGGUGCUAAUACAGGAUAAUGUCCUCGGACCAAAGAUUUAUCGCCUUUGGAUGGGCCCGCGUUGGAUUAGCUAGUUGGUAGGGUAAAAGCCUACCACGGCGACGAUCCAUAGCUGGUUUGAGAGGAUGAUCAGCCACACUGGGGGUGAGACACGGCCCAGACUCCUGGGGGAGGCGGGAGAGGGGGAUAUUGGACAAUGGGCGGGGGCCUGAAGCAGCAAUGCCGGUUGAGUGAUGAAGGCCGUAGGGUUGUAAAGCUCUUUUACCCGGGAUGAUAAUGACGGUACCGGGAGAAUAAGCACCGGCUAACUCCGUG
RNAcentral lists this ribosomal RNA (433 nucleotides) under uncultured bacterium. Its description in RNAcentral is "partial 16S ribosomal RNA". It matches the Rfam family "Bacterial small subunit ribosomal RNA", at positions 29 to 507 of the family's 1533-position model. The record is from RNAcentral.